Molecule: RNA transcript, 1666 nt
Organism: Artibeus jamaicensis (Jamaican fruit-eating bat)
Lineage: Eukaryota; Metazoa; Chordata; Mammalia; Chiroptera; Phyllostomidae
Exons: 5
Source: RefSeq, a predicted model, not a curated record
GCCGAGCUAGGAGGACCUGCGUGGGUGGGUUUGGGUGUUGACGUUUAAGUAAGGAGCGCGCAGUCCGGCAGGCGUCCUGCGUGUCCAUGGUAACCAAAUCUCUAUUGCUUGCCUGUGCGGAAUUAGUGCGGGGCCCCACUUGACACGUUCACGUUGUUGUGGCUGGCAAGGUCUUCUACGUGUAAGGAAUGCGCCAGCCUUUGGGAGCUCAGAGACGAAAGAGACAUGCUCUGUUCCUAAUAAGUUUAAGAUUUAGUGGACAAGUCCCAUAGCAAGUGCUGAACAGGUGGUUGAUAAAUACUCGUUUCGUGAAUAAUGGAUCGUGGCCUUGUGAAACUAGAAUGUGGAGUUCACAAAGGAGAACAGCAGGUUAUGCUGAAAGGUUCUGAUAGCCUCUCAUCCUCCAUCAGUCAGUCAUCUGCCGGUGAAAGUGAGCUUUUUCAAAAGGUCUGUUUCUAAGCUCCACCCAAAUUGCUGGCGGAUUGCUUCUCCCAUCCAAAUACCAACCAGGCCCAGCCCUGCUUAGCUUCUGACAUCAGACAAGAUCAGGUGCUUUUGGGGGCUGUGGCCAUAGACUGCUAGUGGAUCAUUUCUGAUUGUUGCAUGGUACUCCUCGGUGUAUAUCCAGCAUGUUUUACCUGUCCACCUCCAUGAUAGCAGACCUUGUGGACUCUCUACCUGAUUCCCCUGCACAAGGCCAGCAUUUCAUCACUGCCUGACACAGCAGUUCUCAACCCUGCCAGACUUGAUAAUCUGCCUCAAGUGACAAAUACAUUAUAAUGUGUCCUUUGUUAUUCUGCAAUGAAAUUCACAGACGCUAUAACCCAUUGUCUUGUCGUGGGCAGCCUCUCCGCCCUCAACGCUGCCUGCCUCCUGGUGUUCUCAUCCUGUGUUAACACCCACCCCUUGAGUGUGGGCUCCGUUUACUGACGUCUAGUGACUGUAAGUGAUAGGGUGUCACUUCCAAGGUGAGGUUACAAGAAAAACCCUGGCUUCUACUUGGGUGUUCUCCCUGGUUCUCUCUCUCACCUGCUCUGAGAGAAGCCAGCUGCAUGUUGUCAACCACCCCAUGGAGAGAACUGUGUGGCAGGUAACUGAGGGAUGCCUCUGGCAACAGCCAGGGAAGGGCUGGGGCCGUUGGUCUAACACCCUGAGGGAACUGAGUUCUGCUGACAACCACGUGAGCAGUUUGGGAAGUGGGUCCUUCCCCUGCAGUACUUCAUAGGGGACCGCAGCCCCAGCCAGCAUCCUGAGUGCGCAAUAAGGGACCUUCAGCCAGAGGCACCCAGCUAAACUGCACCCAGAACCCUGACCCACAGAAUCGGUAUGAUAAAUGUAUAUUGCAUUUGCCACUAAGUUUUGGGAUAAUUUGUCAACACAGCAAUAAAUAACUAAUACACUUAACUACCCAUGUAAUUUAAAAACAAUAUAUAGUACCCCUAAUGGUAACAUAAAAGUAAAAUAAAGACAGUAAAUUAUAAUUACACGUGUUUCAAAAUGGACUAGAGGGCAUAAAGAUCUCAGAUGCUCGCCACAUGUAUAGAACCACUUUGAAUGCAGGAGCUUCAAAUGCAGAUUGGUUCCAGUGAGUGUUGGCCAGUGAAAUUAUUACAAGUGAUGUGGCCUUGGUGACAUUAUUUCCUGAAAUUGUUCACACUCUUCAUAA